UACAUUUUCUCCGCACAUCAUCUGAGGCAGAUAUUAAUGCUUGUUUUCCUCUCUUUAUGGACUUCGAGUUUGGCUUUCUUGUCACAUU
This 88-nucleotide small nucleolar RNA is filed under the name Arabidopsis thaliana (thale cress). The record is from RNAcentral. Lineage: Eukaryota; Viridiplantae; Streptophyta; Magnoliopsida; Brassicales; Brassicaceae.